GACGAACGCUGGCGGCGUGCCUAAUACAUGCAAGUAGAACGCACAGUUUAUACCGUAGCUUGCUACACCAUAGACUGUGAGUUGCGAACGGGUGAGUAACGCGUAGGUAACCUGCCUGGUAGCGGGGGAUAACUAUUGGAAACGAUAGCUAAUACCGCAUAAUAUUAAUUAUUGCAUGAUAAUUAAUUGAAAGGUGCAAUUGCACCACUACCAGAUGGACCUGCGUUGUAUUAGCUAGUAGGUGAGGUAACGGCUCACCUAGGCGACGAUACAUAGCCGUCCUGAGAGGGUGAUCGGCCACACUGGGACUGAGACACGGCCCAGACUCCUACGGGAGGCAGCAGUAGGGAAUCUUCGGCAAUGGACGAAAGUCUGACCGAGCAACGCCGCGUGAGUGAAGAAGGUUUUCGGAUCGUAAAGCUCUGUUGUAAGAGAAGAACGGGUGUGAGAGUGGAAAGUUCACACUGUGACGGUAUCUUACCAGAAAGGGACGGCUAACUACGUG
RNAcentral lists this ribosomal RNA (505 nucleotides) under uncultured bacterium. RNAcentral describes it as "partial 16S ribosomal RNA". It matches the Rfam family "Bacterial small subunit ribosomal RNA", at positions 28 to 507 of the family's 1533-position model. The record is from RNAcentral.